RNAcentral lists this ribosomal RNA (622 nucleotides) under Suberites massa. RNAcentral's name for it is "eukaryotic LSU rRNA". It matches the Rfam family "Eukaryotic large subunit ribosomal RNA", at positions 405 to 841 of the family's 3401-position model. Lineage: Eukaryota; Metazoa; Porifera; Demospongiae; Suberitida; Suberitidae. The record is from RNAcentral.
CCGUUAGGAGGGAAACGAAUGCAGCUAAAUUAGCUUUGUUUCAGGCUCAGGAGGAUGUUGGGUUUCGAUGCCAGCUGCCAAAAGCCGAUAGGUUUUGACUGCUGGAUAGUGGUCAACUCCUCUGCAUUCCUGUGCACAAGCUAGCCAACAACAGUUGUCCGUGGCUGAUGAGGGCAGUUGGGUAGGUAGUUCUCAGAAUUUUUCCGAGAAAACGUAUAGCCAUCUGUCUGGAAGUCUGCGGAGGACUGAGGAAAACUGUCAGUGCAGGCCCUCUGGGCUUGGGCCGCUUCUGGUCGUUCUGGGCACCACUUGUGGGACUGCUUGCAGUGCCAUUUGAUGGCUGUUUGCUCGAGCGGGAGACUGGUCACACCUUGUGCUGUAGUUGUUGGUGUUCAAAUGGCUGCAUCCGACCCGUCUUGAAACACGGACCAAGGAGUGCAACAUGCGUGCGAGUCUUUGGGUGUCAAACCCUGUGGCACAAUGAAAGUGAAGGCAGGCAUUGGUCUGCUUAGGCGAGAGUCUCUUUGGAGACACAUCGUCGACCGAUCCCAGGUCACGCUGUGGCGGGAUUUGAGUGAGAGCGUGCCUGUUGCGACCCGAAAGAUGGUGAACUAUGCCUGAA